AAACCAACAGGGAUUGCCCUAGUAACGGCGAGUGAAGCGGCAACAGCUCAAAUUUGAAAUCUGGCCUCACGGUCCGAAUUGUAAUUUGUAGAGGAUGUUUCUGGCGACGUGUCUUCCGAGUUCCCUGGAACGGGACGCCAUAGAGGGUGAGAGCCCCGUCCGGUCGUACACCUAGCCUCUGUGAAACUCCUUCGACGAGUCGAGUAGUUUGGGAAUGCUGCUCUAAAUGGGAGGUAUACGUCUUCUAAAGCUAAAUACCGGCCAGAGACCGAUAGCGCACAAGUAGAGUGAUCGAAAGAUGAAAAGCACUUUGAAAAGAGGGUUAAAUAGUACGUGAAAUUGCUGAAAGGGAAGCGCUUAUGACCAGACUUGGGCUCGGUGAAUCAUCCGGCGUUCUCGCCGGUGCACUUUGCCGUCCCAGGCCAGCAUCAGUUCGCGCCGGGGGAUAAAGGUUUCGGGAAUGUAGCUCCUUCGGGAGUGUUAUAGCCCGUUGCGUAAUACCCUGGCGUGGACUGAGGUCCGCGCUCUGCAAGGAUGCUGGCGUAAUGGUCAUCAGUGAC
RNAcentral lists this ribosomal RNA (560 nucleotides) under Acremonium egyptiacum. RNAcentral describes it as "partial 28S ribosomal RNA". It matches the Rfam family "Eukaryotic large subunit ribosomal RNA", at positions 62 to 648 of the family's 3401-position model. Lineage: Eukaryota; Fungi; Ascomycota; Sordariomycetes; Hypocreales; Bionectriaceae. The record is from RNAcentral.